Molecule: small RNA, 81 nt
Filed under: Polaromonas sp.
Lineage: Bacteria; Pseudomonadati; Pseudomonadota; Betaproteobacteria; Burkholderiales; Comamonadaceae
Description: sX9 sRNA
Rfam family: Xanthomonas sRNA sX9
Source: RNAcentral
ACGUACCGCAAGUACGUUCCGGUUCGUCCGCUCCGUCCGCCUUGCCCGCGGCCCGCUCGCUACGCCCUUGACGCCGUGGUU